GUCAAGACAGGAGAGAGAAAGGUACGUUUUCCGUUGAUUUUGUUUAGUUUUAUUUUGGGGAUACAUGAAUUCUGCUGAACGAGGAAGUUAGCUAGCAUUUUGGCUAGCUGGCUAACUGCAGUGCCAUAACCGUAGCUAGCUAACGUUAGCUGGCGUUAUUGUUAGGCCUGCUAACUAGUUACCAUAUCACAUUGUACAGAAUAUACUUUCCAUGUAGUAUGUUGAAUUUUGUUUGGAUUAGCUAGGUAGCUUUCUAACCUUGACUAGCUACUGUAGCUAGCUAAGUUUCCUAACCUGAAACUGACAAAUAGCUAUGAUAUGGUCGCUACUGGCUAGCUAGCUGGGCUCACCUUUGUGUGAAGCUAGCCACAAUAACGAUUAUCCACAUCAGUGGAAUUUACGGCUUGCCUUCAUAAUAAAAGUUCCCCAUUGGAAACAGGGUGUGGUCAAUCUUGGAUUUCCACAAGGUCUCAGACUCCAAGAUGGGAAAAUGCCUACUAGAACGAAACAUAUAACAGAGACAGAGUUGUUGAUAUUCAUUGUUAUUUGUAACAUUAAAAAGGAGGACAAGAAGAUAA
Oncorhynchus keta (chum salmon) is the source of this 578-nucleotide long non-coding RNA. RefSeq lists it as uncharacterized. The record is from RefSeq and is a predicted model, not a curated record. The transcript is spliced from 2 exons. Lineage: Eukaryota; Metazoa; Chordata; Actinopteri; Salmoniformes; Salmonidae.